GGCUUCGUCUUCAUCGUCAUUCGUCAUUUGUUUGUAUCUGAAAGAAGGGGUAUACCCGGAGCUCCAUCUGUAUCUGAUUUUCAAACAUAUUUAACACAAUCAGGUCUUGAUGUCACGUCUUCCUCAGCAUUUCUUCAAGAAAGUAAGACAUCAAAGAGGAAGACGGUGAUUAUAUUGAAAGGGUUCCGUGGCACCAGCCGAACCUAAUGGCUGAAGAUGCUUUAAACAGCAAUAAGUCUACACAGCCAUCUGUUAGACUCUAAACAUUGCCUUACAUUGGAAUGAAACCGAAUUCUUUAUAAAAUGGAAGGGGCAGCUGUAUUUACACUGCCAGUGGAAAUCAUUUUCAGAUCUUCAAAAUCUUAGUGGGUUCAAAAAGGUCGUGAACUACACCAAAAGAGUGAUGGAGGAAAGGAGAUGUAGAAUGACCCUGUCUCGAGAAGUGGUUGAGGUCCAUGAUGUGGGCAAGGAAAUGGAGUUAGAUUAUAGCAAGCAAUAUAGUCAGGUUGAACGGAUAUUUGUUGAUGUGAUCAAGGUGGUUCAGAUGACAUGACUCCAGAAAGGGACAUAGAUAUUGCAUUUGCUCAGGAUGUUAUUGAUGAGUACAAGGCCAGGGAGGCUGUGAUGACCCCCCAAGGAAAAAUGGUGGACUUCUAGCAGAAAAAAAGCAGAGAAUGCCUAACAAAUUCAUGGCUCAUUUCUUGCCGUUGCACCAUUGUCAACUAUGUCCAACUGGGCAAAAGAUUCUAAGAAGUGGCUUCCUGAAAUGAACAUUGUUGUAUACAUUGGAAAUCGUUCUAGUCGAGUGGUGAGACAUGUUAUGCACGUUUACAAUGGGAUGGUUGGGUUUCCAAUGCAUCAAUCUGAUUAUGUUAAGAAGCUUAGCUCUGCCUGGAGCAUAUUUCUUUCACACUGGGCCUUGCUUCAUUGCCUUGACCCUGUGAAGUUCAAGCAAAGGAUGACUUUUCUGAGAAGAACAAGAACCCGAGCUGUUUUAAUGAACUUGAGCUUGCAAAUCUGCAUAAGGAACUGAGGCGGCACAUUCUGCAAAGAGUUAUUAAGGAUGUUGAGAAGUCCUUGUCUCCGAAAUUUGAACGUGAACAGAGGAGUGGGAAUCAGGCAAAAGUUCCUGACAUUGAGAAGUUUUUGGAUAAAGUUGCUACUUUGCAAGCUAAGAAGGGUACUGACGAGGGACUAAUUAGCCGAUUUCAAAGUUUCGGAAGGCAUAAUUUCACGGGUCCACAUCGAGGAGUCAGACUCCACAUGUCUAUGGUUGAGAGCAGAUGUCGUGCUGGAAUACACAAGUUAAGAGGCCCAGUGCUCUUGUACAAGAGAACCUUGAUAAUGCUAACACUAGCAUAGAGGUCCUUAUUGCUGAUCUACAAUUCUUAAGGGACCAAGUGACGAUAAUACAGGUCACUGUCACUCGGGUAUACAGCUGGGAUGUUCACCGGCGCAGAAUGAAGCAAGUUACUGCAACUGCUGUGACAGACUUGCAAAGGCUUUCUAUUAUCGCAUGGCUUUUUCUUAGUUACCCUAGUCAGGAGCACAACAGCCAUGUGGUGAUGUCAUACUACUUAGCUGUUGGCACGUAUUAUUGAUAGAUGAGUAGCAGUAUUCUAACGGUGUUCGGAUGCCAACUAUGAUCAAUUUUCAGGGAAUGGACCGUAUACCAUUAUUUUUACACGUCCUUGUAAACUGGUUAGGGAAUACAAGUUAUCUUAUUUACCUAUGCACAUAUGCAAGUCCUUUGCUAAUAGGAAGAUGGGUACUUUUCUCUUUCUCAGGGGGUCUCCUGCAUUUGGGGGUCCUGGUUUUGGUCUCCAACUUCUGAUGCAAAUGCACACCGCUUCAGUGUGUGGCCCCAUGGGAGGAUUUGGUGGUCCUUAAAAUGGUUCUUUUCCAGCACUUGCACCUUUUCAGUCUCCAAUCCCUCAACAGAACAUGCCUGUAUCGUCUCGCACAUACAUCAACACAGCAAGGCCAGUUACAGACUUCCAAUUUUUCGAUUUGACCCUCCCUUAAGCAGGCAUUUCCAUUGCAGCUUUCAUCUGGCUCAGUAGGUCAAGUGCCAGUUUCCCAGCCUCAGGUCCAGCAGACUGCCUCUGUUGCUCCACAGCUGAUGCCUCCAAAUUUGCAACAAGGUGUCUUUGGGCCUUUGUGGUUUUCAUCAGCAGCAGCAACAAUUGCAUCAGCCUCCACAUCAGUCGCCUUGUCAGCUAGCACAGGUCCUGUUUCAACAAAUGUUUACAACUAGCUUUCCGUCAUCACAACAAGCAAUAUCUCAGCUACAGCAAAAGCUGCAUGUGGUGUGUUUAAAGUGUGAAUUUAAGCAUUGCUGCCGGUCGAGUUUUAAGUGUGAAUUUAAAGCAAGAUUUAUUUUGUUGUUUAAAACCGAAAACAGUCUGAUCGAUUAGAAAUGAAGUAACAGUUUGUCACUUGAUCUAGGUCUUGACAUGUUAGACGGAUACAACAGUUAAACUAUCAUGAAAAGCAGUUCGAUGUCCAUUUUAAUGGCAAUUGUGAAAACUCUUAA
This is a long non-coding RNA of Papaver somniferum (opium poppy), 2536 nucleotides long. RefSeq lists it as uncharacterized. The transcript has 15 exons. NCBI's taxonomy places the organism in Eukaryota, Viridiplantae, Streptophyta, Magnoliopsida, Ranunculales, Papaveraceae. The record is from RefSeq and is a predicted model, not a curated record.